This 482-nucleotide unclassified non-coding RNA is filed under the name Bombus terrestris (buff-tailed bumblebee). RNAcentral's name for it is "misc RNA ENSBTSG00005028162.1". Lineage: Eukaryota; Metazoa; Arthropoda; Insecta; Hymenoptera; Apidae. The record is from RNAcentral.
ACAUAUUAUGUGAAAAAUUGUUUAUCCCCGUAUCGUUUACUCUGGAAAUUGUUGAUCCAACGAAGGAAGAUUUUAAAAUCUUAAAUGAACAAGGCUAUCGUGACCAAGUCAGUGAUAUUUUGAGCACUGGUAUAUAAACGAAAUAAUUUCUCAAUACACCGUUAGUAACUUGUUGAUCUGAGAAGGUGGCAAGUAUCGUUUUUAGUUAUUAACUUAUUACUAAUUUAUGUAUUUUAAUAAUAUUCAUAUAUUGAUACUACAAAUUGACCAAAGUGUCUGCAGUCUGGACACAUAUGAACGAAAAACGUUCAUUUAAUUCUGUCCACGGUUGCGCGUAUAAUUAUCUCAACUAUAGUCAAAGUAAAGAUCGAAAUUGCACGAAAGAUGAUCUGAUGAUUAACCUUCUGCGCCAGAAGCGCUUUGUCGCCUCCCACCAGAGAAAUAUAUAAUUAAACGCUCAGAACUGUAAAGUCGCAACUGCA